UACGAAGGGAGCUAGCGUUGUUCGGAAUUACUGGGCGUAAAGGGCGCGUAGGCGGUUUAGUAAGUCAGAUGUGAAAGCCCCGGGCUUAACCUGGGAACAGCAUUUGAUACUGCUAGACUUGAGAUCGAAAGAGGAGAGUGGAAUUGCGAGUGUAGAGGUGAAAUUCGUAGAUAUUCGCAGGAACACCAGUGGCGAAGGCGACUCUCUGGUUCGAUACUGACGCUAAGGCGCGAAAGCGUGGGGAGCAAACAGG
This 253-nucleotide ribosomal RNA is filed under the name uncultured bacterium. RNAcentral's name for it is "partial 16S ribosomal RNA". It matches the Rfam family "Bacterial small subunit ribosomal RNA", at positions 524 to 776 of the family's 1533-position model. The record is from RNAcentral.